Long non-coding RNA from Papaver somniferum (opium poppy), 607 nucleotides. RefSeq lists it as uncharacterized. The record is from RefSeq and is a predicted model, not a curated record. Lineage: Eukaryota; Viridiplantae; Streptophyta; Magnoliopsida; Ranunculales; Papaveraceae. The transcript has 4 exons.
CGAUGGUCUCUGGGUGUAUAAAGGCUGGAAGACUAUCAAAUAUGAUGGUGUUGCUGGGUUUACCGCGGGUUCAACAUUUCUUGUGUUGGAAUUAUUGUCAUCUGUGGUCUCUACUUCGGAUUGUACGACUCUCUAAAGCCAGUUCUUUUGAAUGGUGACUUAGCGGAUAGUUUCUUGCUUCUCCACAUGCUUGUGGUACAUCUAGAUGAAUGUUCAGAAGUACUCUAUCGUGCCAUAUCUUUCCAACUACGACCAAAAGUCUGUAUAUGAGUCACCAACACCGUCAAAAAUGAUUGUUCCUUUUCCGUCUUUUCCAACAGCUUGACAUGUUCAGCAGACCAAUAUGCAUUGUCCAAGUACAUUGUUGGGUCCUUUAUGGUAGAAUCCCAGGCUGGGAAGGUAGGGAUGACCGUGGAGUCUGAUCUCAAACUAGCUCAACUUCAACAUCAUCUUCCUGCAAAUGAACCAGGCAGGCUUAUGCAACUUGUUGAGGGCACUACAGGGGAAGAUAAUAUAUCUUUAAGUGUGAAGGUAAGCGUUUGAUAUUUAAGUUAAUGUAGGACGUUUCUCCAAAUCAAAGAUUUUGUUUGAAGUUGUAUUAAUGUCU